This 1445-nucleotide ribosomal RNA is filed under the name uncultured marine cyanobacterium. RNAcentral describes it as "bacterial SSU rRNA". It matches the Rfam family "Bacterial small subunit ribosomal RNA". The record is from RNAcentral. Lineage: Bacteria; Bacillati; Cyanobacteriota.
GAGUUUGAUCCUGGCUCAGGAUGAACGCUGGCGGCGUGCUUAACACAUGCAAGUCGAACGAACCUUCGGGUUAGUGGCGGACGGGUGAGUAACGCGUGGGAAUCUGCCCUCAGGAGGGGGAUAACGGUCGGAAACGACCGCUAAUACCCCAUAUGCCGAGAGGUGGAAUGAAUUUCGCCUGAGGAUGAGCCCGCGUCUGAUUAGCUUGUUGGUGAGGUAAUGGCUCACCAAGGCAUCGAUCAGUAGCUGGUCUGAGAGGAUGAUCAGCCACACUGGGACUGAGACACGGCCCAGACUCCUACGGGAGGCAGCAGUGGGGAAUUUUCCGCAAUGGACGAAAGUCUGACGGAGCAACGCCGCGUGAGGGACGAAGGCCUCUGGGCUGUAAACCUCUUUUCUCAAGGAAGAAGAUAUGACGGUACUUGAGGAAUAAGCCACGGCUAAUUCCGUGCCAGCAGCCGCGGUAAUACGGGAGUGGCAAGCGUUAUCCGGAAUUAUUGGGCGUAAAGCGUCCGCAGGCGGCCUUUCAAGUCUGCUGUUAAAGCGUGGAGCUUAACUCCAUCAUGGCAGUGGAAACUGAUUGGCUUGAGUAUGGUAGGGGUAGAGGGAAUUCCCGGUGUAGCGGUGAAAUGCGUAGAUAUCGGGAAGAACACCAGUGGCGAAGGCGCUCUACUGGGCCAUUACUGACGCUCAUGGACGAAAGCCAGGGGAGCGAAAGGGAUUAGAUACCCCUGUAGUCCUGGCCGUAAACGAUGAACACUAGGUGUCGGGGGAAUCGACCCCUUCGGUGUCGUAGCUAACGCGUUAAGUGUUCCGCCUGGGGAGUACGCACGCAAGUGUGAAACUCAGAGGAAUUGACGGGGGCCCGCACAAGCGGUGGAGUAUGUGGUUUAAUUCGAUGCAACGCGAAGGACCUUACCAGGGCUUGACAUCCUGCGAACCUUUAAGAAAUUAGAGGGUGCCUUCGGGAACGCAGUGACAGGUGGUGCAUGGCUGUCGUCAGCUCGUGUCGUGAGAUGUUGGGUUAAGUCCCGCAACGAGCGCAACCCACGUUUUUAGUUGCCAGCAUUUAGUUGGGCACUCUAGAAAGACCGCCGGUGAUAAACCGGAGGAAGGUGUGGAUGACGUCAAGUCAUCAUGCCCCUUACGUCCUGGGCUACACACGUACUACAAUGCUACGGACAAAGGGCAGCAAACUCGCGAGAGCUAGCAAAUCCCAUAAACCGUGGCUCAGUUCAGAUCGUAGGCUGCAACUCGCCUACGUGAAGUAGGAGUCGCUAGUAAUCGCAGGUCAGCAUACUGCGGUGAAUACGUUCCCGGGCCUUGUACACACCGCCCGUCACACCAUGGAAGUUGGCCACGCCCGAAGUCGUUACUUUAACUCUUGUGGAGAAGGACGCCGAAGGUGGGGCUGAUGACUGGGGUGAAGUCGUAACAAGGUAACC